UACAUAAAUAUCUUGCUUGCACA
Molecule: non-coding RNA, 23 nt
Filed under: Arabidopsis thaliana (thale cress)
Lineage: Eukaryota; Viridiplantae; Streptophyta; Magnoliopsida; Brassicales; Brassicaceae
Source: RNAcentral